UACGUAGGGGGCGAGCGUUGUCCGGAAUCAUUGGGCGUAAAGCGCGAGCAGGCGGCUAUGAGAGCCCGGCGUGAAAGCCCCCGGCUCAACCGGGGGAGGCCGUCGGAGACCUUAUGGCUAGAGGCCGGCAGGGGUGAGUGGAAUUCCCGGUGUAGUGGUGGAAUGCGUAGAGAUCGGGAGGAACACCAGUGGCGAAGGCGGCUCACUGGGCCGGACCUGACGCUGAGGCGCGAAAGCGUGGGGAGCGAUCCGG
RNAcentral lists this ribosomal RNA (253 nucleotides) under uncultured bacterium. Its description in RNAcentral is "partial 16S ribosomal RNA". It matches the Rfam family "Bacterial small subunit ribosomal RNA", at positions 524 to 776 of the family's 1533-position model. The record is from RNAcentral.